RNAcentral lists this signal recognition particle RNA (97 nucleotides) under Erythrobacter sp. RNAcentral describes it as "signal recognition particle sRNA small type". It matches the Rfam family "Bacterial small signal recognition particle RNA". From Rfam's summary of the family: The signal recognition particle (SRP) is a universally conserved ribonucleoprotein involved in the co-translational targeting of proteins to membranes. Archaeal SRP consists of a 7S RNA and homologues of the eukaryotic SRP19 and SRP54 proteins. The record is from RNAcentral. Lineage: Bacteria; Pseudomonadati; Pseudomonadota; Alphaproteobacteria; Sphingomonadales; Erythrobacteraceae.
CCGGGAGUCGGGUGGACGUUUGCGUUCGCUCACCGGGUCAGGUCCGGAAGGAAGCAGCCCAGGUGGAUUGCGGCGGGUCGCUCGCUGCCUUUUCCCU